This 488-nucleotide ribosomal RNA is filed under the name uncultured bacterium. RNAcentral's name for it is "partial 16S ribosomal RNA". It matches the Rfam family "Bacterial small subunit ribosomal RNA", at positions 30 to 523 of the family's 1533-position model. The record is from RNAcentral.
AUUGAACGCUGGCGGCAGGCCUAACACAUGCAAGUCGAGCGGGGUUUUCGGACCUAGCGGCGGACGGGUGAGUAAUGCGUAGGAAGCUGCCCGAUAGAGGGGGAUACCAGUUGGAAACGACUGUUCAUACCGCAUAAUGUCUACGGACCAAAGUGUGGGACCUUCGGGCCACACGCCAUCGGAUGCGCCUACGUGGGAUUAGCUAGUUGGUGAGGUAAUGGCUCACCAAGGCGACGAUCUCUAGCUGGUUUGAGAGGAUGAUCAGCCACACUGGAACUGAGACACGGUCCAGACUCCUACGGGAGGCAGCAGUGGGGAAUAUUGGACAAUGGGCGCAAGCCUGAUCCAGCCAUGCCGCGUGUGUGAAGAAGGCCUUCGGGUUGUAAAGCACUUUCAGCGAGGAGGAAGGGUGGUGUGUUAAUAGCACAUCAUUUUGACGUUACUCGCAGAAGAAGCACCGGCUAACUCUGUGCCAGCCGCCGCAGUAA